This 845-nucleotide long non-coding RNA is filed under the name Homo sapiens (human). Its description in RNAcentral is "HSALNT0284792". The record is from RNAcentral. Lineage: Eukaryota; Metazoa; Chordata; Mammalia; Primates; Hominidae.
AAAAUAAUUAUGCAGGCCGAGGUGGGCAGAUCACCUGAGGUCAGGAGUUCGAGACCAGCCUGGCCAACGUGGUGAAAUCCCGUCUCUACUAAAAAUACAAAAAUUAGCUGGGUGUGGUGGCAUGCGCCUGUAAUCCCAGCUACUCGGGAGGCUGAGACAGGAGAAUUGCUUCAACCUGGGAGACGGAGGUUGUGGUGAGCUGAGAUUGCACUACUGCACUCCAGCCUGGGUGACAGAGUAAGACUCCAUCUCAAAAAUAAAUAAAUAAAUAAAUAAUAAAUAAAAUAAGAAUAAAAUAAUUAUGUAUUUAAUAAUCAGAGGCAUCAUAGAUUAAUGAAAUUCUUUUUCUAGUCAAUGAGAAAAAUGUAAAGAUGUACUUAAUAUGCAACAGAUGUAUUUGCUCUAUAAUACAUAAGUUUGUACUUACAGAGAUUUUGCAGGAGUUUGAGUAAGGAAACUGGCAGAGGGUUGAGAUUGUAUCAUCGGGCUCUCCCUAAUGAAGGAAUGUUGAAAUUAAGAGAGUUCGUGUUGUCAUCGGUACCAUGUUCAUGUUACAGAUUGUGAUUUAGGGCUGCCAAAGCAACAUUAUCAAUCUCAUGAAAUUAUAUGUUAUUUACAUUUCUUUGGCUUUAUAGCUUGGCUUAUUUUUAAUUUGUGAAGUUGCUUUGUUUUAUACUUUGUGUGAAAGCUGUAAAUAAACAAAGACUAAUAGAAUAUAAAAUUUUUUCCAAAAAGUAUGCUAUCUGUCUGGAAAAGAUAAGUGUUCACAAUAGAUGUCUACUUGUAAUAUACCUGAUUGUGUAUAAUAUAAACAUUUUUAAAUAAAACAUUAAAAUGUGUGUACA